Molecule: long non-coding RNA, 345 nt
Organism: Manis pentadactyla (Chinese pangolin)
Lineage: Eukaryota; Metazoa; Chordata; Mammalia; Pholidota; Manidae
Exons: 3
Source: RefSeq, a predicted model, not a curated record
CAGAGAACUAGGAGAAAGUUGAGGAGAGUGUGGCAUCCUGGAAACCAACUUAAAAACAUUCUGCCAGGGAGGAAGCAAUCAAGAUAUCAAGGCACUACUGUGAAUGGCAAAUGGCAAUUAGCUGUACUGAGUACAAAUAUGAAUUUCUGGUGGAAAAGGAAUCACUAGAACAAGGAUUUGAGAAAGAAAUAAAGGAGAGUAGUGAGGAAUGAAGAUGAUGUAUGGAAAGCAUUUAGCAUGAGAAUUCAAGAAUGGAAUUCCUCAUCUGAACUCUCACCAAUACACACACAUAUACACACGUGUACCAGGAAAUAAUACAGGACUGUUCAGAAAAAUAAAGCAAAA